RNAcentral lists this ribosomal RNA (112 nucleotides) under Vibrio parahaemolyticus. RNAcentral's name for it is "partial 16S ribosomal RNA". The record is from RNAcentral. Lineage: Bacteria; Pseudomonadati; Pseudomonadota; Gammaproteobacteria; Vibrionales; Vibrionaceae.
UUAAAUUGAAGAGUUUGAUCAUGGCUCAGAUUGAACGCUGGCGGCAGGCCUAACACAUGCAAGUCGAGCGGAAACGAGUUAUCUGAACCUUCGGGGAACGAUAACGGCGUCG